This 381-nucleotide ribosomal RNA is filed under the name uncultured bacterium. Its description in RNAcentral is "bacterial SSU rRNA". It matches the Rfam family "Bacterial small subunit ribosomal RNA", at positions 29 to 407 of the family's 1533-position model. The record is from RNAcentral.
AUUGAACGCUGGCGGCAUGCCUUACACAUGCAAGUCGAACGGCAGCACGGGGCGAACCCUCGUGGCGAGUGGCGAACGGGUGAGUAAUGCAUCGGAACGUGUCCUCUUGUGGGGAGUAACCAGUCGAAAGAUUGGCUAAUACCGCAUGAGAUCGAGAGAUGAAAGCGGGGACCGAGGGUAACUUCGGCCUCGCGCGAGAGGAGCGGCCGAUGCCGGAUUAGCUAGUGGUGGGUAAGAGCCUACCAAGCGACGAUCCGUAGCUGGUCUGAGAGGACGACCAGCCACACUGGGACUGAGACACGGCCCAGACUCCUACGGGAGGCAGCAGUGGGGAAUUUUGGACAAUGGGCGCAAGCCUGAUCCAGCCAUGCCGCGUGUGUG